UACGUAGGUGGCAAGCGUUGUCCGGAAUUAUUGGGCGUAAAGCGCGCGCAGGCGGCUAUGUAAGUCUGGUGUUAAAGCCCGGGGCUCAACCCCGGUACGCACCCGAAACUGCGUAGCUUGAGUGCAGGAGAGGAAAGCGGUAUUCCACGUGUAGCGGUGAAAUGCGUAGAGAUGUGGAGGAACACCAGUGGCGAAGGCGGCUUUCUGGCCUGUAACUGACGCUGAGGCGCGAAAGCGUGGGGAGCAAACAGG
RNAcentral lists this ribosomal RNA (252 nucleotides) under uncultured bacterium. RNAcentral's name for it is "partial 16S ribosomal RNA". It matches the Rfam family "Bacterial small subunit ribosomal RNA", at positions 524 to 776 of the family's 1533-position model. The record is from RNAcentral.